This is a long non-coding RNA of Sebastes umbrosus (honeycomb rockfish), 732 nucleotides long. RefSeq lists it as uncharacterized. The record is from RefSeq and is a predicted model, not a curated record. The transcript has 7 exons. Lineage: Eukaryota; Metazoa; Chordata; Actinopteri; Perciformes; Sebastidae.
UCUUCCAGUCCUCUGUCUGUCUGUCUGUCUGUCUGUCUGUCUGCAUGUCUGCAUGCAGGAUGGCCGGAGAGAGGAACCGUCGGUGGCUCUUUCAGCGGUUUCUCCUAACUUCACUCCCCGGUAGCAGAGACGACCAGAGCGGGUUAGUUCAUCUGGAAGCAGCCUGGCUGGUUAAACAUUAAGUCACAUGGAGGCCUUCUGGGCUCGGUGCCUGGAUGAUUUGCAUGAGAUGUUGAGAUGAAGAAAAGGAAUUUGCCUUGAAGAUGGCCUUUACUGGGUGAGCGUGGUGAGACUCAGCGGGAUGGAUGCUGCUGUCUGAAGAGCAGGACCUCGUGGAGUCUGAGAGCUGGUCAGAAUGACGAGACGAAGAUCUGCGGUCGCGGUGUUUCAGAUGGUCCUGAGAUCGAAGCUCGUAUUGACGAGGACCUCGCUGGGUUUGAGAGCUGGUUGAAUCAUGACUCAGAUGGGAAAGUAACUACAUGUUCCUGAUGAUGACUGGUGAUCUAUUUCAUGGUUGAUUCAUGACUCAACAGAUGGGAAAGUAACUACAUGAUCCUGGUGAUCUAGUUCAUGGUACAACACCAGAAAACUGCUGCCCUCAAGUGAUCCAAACAAACCUUGAAUGAAACUACAAUUUUGUUAAACAAAGAACAAAAUAAAAUGUUUGGAUAAUAUUGAAGCUAUUGCAUCAAACUGUAAACUUGUUUGUUGAAUAAAUAGUAACUCAGUUAA